Molecule: ribosomal RNA, 363 nt
Filed under: uncultured bacterium
Lineage: Bacteria
Description: bacterial SSU rRNA
Rfam family: Bacterial small subunit ribosomal RNA
Source: RNAcentral
AAGUCCCGCAAGGGAUCAGUAGAGUGGCAAACGGGUGAGUAACACGUGGGUGACCUGCCUUCGAGUGGGGGAUAACGUCCCGAAAGGGACGCUAAUACCGCAUGACAUCCUGCCUUUGAAGAGGUGGAGCUUAAAGCUGGGGAUCGCAAGACCUAGCGCUUGAAGAGGGGCCCGCGUCUGAUUAGCUAGUUGGUGAGGUAACGGCUCACCAAGGCAUCGAUCAGUAUCCGGCCUGAGAGGGCGGACGGACACACUGGGACUGAGACACGGCCCAGACUCCUACGGGAGGCAGCAGUGGGGAAUUGUUCGCAAUGGGCGCAAGCCUGACGACGCAACGCCGCGUGGAGGAUGAAGACCUUCGGG